ACGACGCUGGCGGCGUGCCUAAUACAUGCAAGUCGAGCGGACUUGAUGGAGAGCUUGCUCUCCUGAGAGUUAGCGGCGGACGGGUGAGUAACACGUAGGCAACCUGCCCUCUGGACUGGGAUAACUACCGGAAACGGUAGCUAAUACCAGAUAAUUCACUUCUUCGCAUGGAGAAGUGAGGAAAGACGGAGCAAUCUGUCACCGGAGGAUGGGCCUGCGGCGCAUUAGCUAGUUGGAGAGGUAACGGCUCCCCAAGGCGACGAUGCGUAGCCGACCUGAGAGGGUGAUCGGCCACACUGGGACUGAGACACGGCCCAGACUCCUACGGGAGGCAGCAGUAGGGAAUCUUCCGCAAUGGGCGAAAGCCUGACGGAGCAACGCCGCGUGAAGUGAUGAAGGUUUUCGGAUCGUAAAGCUCUGUUGCCAAGGAAGAACGUCCUUAAGAGUAACUGCUUAAGGAGUGACGGUACUUGAGAAGAAAGCCCCGGCUAACUACGUGCCAGCAGCCGC
RNAcentral lists this ribosomal RNA (510 nucleotides) under uncultured bacterium. Its description in RNAcentral is "bacterial SSU rRNA". It matches the Rfam family "Bacterial small subunit ribosomal RNA", at positions 33 to 518 of the family's 1533-position model. The record is from RNAcentral.